UGUUCUACUAUAUUCUUUCUGUUCUACUCUAUUCUAUUUAUUGUAUUCUGUUCUAUUUUACUCACUCUAGUCUGGUUGAGUUUCACCGCUGUCUUCAUGUUACAAGGACCCAGUCAUUAAUCUAAAUGCGUUUCAAGCGGAAUCAGUUCUGCCACUAGAUGGAGCUGCUGCAGAUAAUAAGGCAUCAUCGGGAAACAUGGAGGGCCAAGACGAAGGAUAAGCGACUCUUCUAUGAUCCACUGUGACUUACCAGAGUGCCUCUCAACCGCUGAGAGAGCAUGACGAGGCUGGACGUAGAGGGCACAGGCUGGUCCUGCUCCGGUGCUGCAGAUCUGAACGCCCCUCUGUACAUUACUGUUAAAGGUAGCUACAUCUCCACACCAUCACUACACACCAAACCUACUGUAGAAAUACUUCCUGUACUUAAGCAGUUAUCUUUUUAUUUUGACUUCUGUGAACAUGUUGUCACAAUAGGAUUGGAAACAACAGCUAACAAAAUGAAUUAAUUAAUUUUUGUAAAUUUCUAUUUCAACCAGUUGUUUAUGUGGAUGCUCCUAGUGAGGACAAACAUGUGUUAUAGUUUUGUUUACUUGAUUUGUUCAAGGAUGCAAGGUACAGCCUUUUAUUCUGUAAAAAAUAGUGCAAUAUCCAAUGUAGUUUUGUUAGAGCUAAGAGCAAACAGGGGAGCACCUUGAGACAGAGAUGGUCUGCUUCAUGAAGGACAAUAAGACCAUAUACAGUACACUGCCAACAUGGUGGUGUACAUCAUAAGCUAUUUCCUGUCUGAAAAAGAAAAUGUUCAUCUUCAAUAUGCUACAGAAGAAUGAUAAAAUAAAACCAAUGUGGGAGUGGAACAUGGUUAUUGUAAAGGGCAAAAUCUGUGGAUUCU
Long non-coding RNA from Siniperca chuatsi (mandarin fish), 889 nucleotides. RefSeq lists it as uncharacterized. The record is from RefSeq and is a predicted model, not a curated record. NCBI's taxonomy places the organism in Eukaryota, Metazoa, Chordata, Actinopteri, Centrarchiformes, Sinipercidae. The transcript is spliced from 3 exons.